This 69-nucleotide transfer RNA is filed under the name Marmota monax (woodchuck). RNAcentral's name for it is "tRNA.Ala". It matches the Rfam family "tRNA". Rfam says of the family: Transfer RNA (tRNA) molecules are approximately 80 nucleotides in length. Their secondary structure includes four short double-helical elements and three loops (D, anti-codon, and T loops). The record is from RNAcentral. Lineage: Eukaryota; Metazoa; Chordata; Mammalia; Rodentia; Sciuridae.
UGGGGAUAUAGCUCAGUUGGUAGAGUGCUUGCUUUGCAUGCAUAAGGCCCUGGGUUCGAUCCCCAGCAA